UAAGAAGCGAACGCAGGGAACUGAAACAUCUAAGUACCUGCAGGAAAGGACAUCAACCGAGACUCCGCAAGUAGUGGCGAGCGAACGCGGACCAGGCCAGUGGCAAUGAUGAAUAAAGCGGAACGAUUUGGAAAGGUCGGCCAUAGAGGGUGAUAGCCCCUUACGCGUAGAACAGUCAUUGUCCUUGAGUAGGGCGGGACACGUGAAAUCCUGUCUGAACAUGGGGAGACCACUCUCCAAGCCUAAGUACUCGUG
This 255-nucleotide ribosomal RNA is filed under the name Agrobacterium pusense. Its description in RNAcentral is "partial 23S ribosomal RNA". It matches the Rfam family "Bacterial large subunit ribosomal RNA", at positions 173 to 478 of the family's 2925-position model. Lineage: Bacteria; Pseudomonadati; Pseudomonadota; Alphaproteobacteria; Hyphomicrobiales; Rhizobiaceae. The record is from RNAcentral.